GAUGAACGCUGGCGGCGUGCCUAAUACAUGCAAGUCGAGCGAACAGACGAGGAGCUUGCUCCUCUGACGUUAGCGGCGGACGGGUGAGUAACACGUGGAUAACCUACCUAUAAGACUGGGAUAACUUCGGGAAACCGGAGCUAAUACCGGAUAAUAUAUUGAACCGCAUGGUUCAAUAGUGAAAGACGGUUUUGCUGUCACUUAUAGAUGGAUCCGCGCCGCAUUAGCUAGUUGGUAAGGUAACGGCUUACCAAGGCAACGAUGCGUAGCCGACCUGAGAGCGUGAUCGGCCACACUGGAACUGAGACACGGUCCAGACUCCUACGGGAGGCAGCAGUAGGGAAUCUUCCGCAAUAGGCGAAAGCCUAACAGAACAACGCCGCGUGAGUGAUGAAGUUCUUCGGAUCGUAAAACUCUGUUAUUAGGGAAGAACAAAUGCGUAAGUAACUCUGCACGUCUUGACGGUACCUAAUCAGAAAUCCACGGCUAACUACGUG
Molecule: ribosomal RNA, 497 nt
Filed under: uncultured bacterium
Lineage: Bacteria
Description: partial 16S ribosomal RNA
Rfam family: Bacterial small subunit ribosomal RNA
Source: RNAcentral